GGUCGUCUAUCUGCACGUACAGCACGACAAAUAAUUAACCGCACUUGAAGCUUUCAUAAAAUUAAAAUAAAAACACCAGAACUGUAUACGGUCCCAUAACGAAGACCGACUGCACGUCGAUACGUGAAAUUCCGGAGGGACGUCGGACGUCGUGGCGCGGGGACGUAAUGACGUGUGACGUUAAUCCGCCUACGUUCUAUAACACGUGACACGGGAACAUGAAAGGAGUAUUCUAAAAGCGCCUCGUGUAAACACCUUAAUCACGAUAUUAUACGUCUUAUUCAGAAUAAGGUCCGUGAUUAGAUCACCGCCGUCCGCGUAAACGUACUCGUUGAGGCAAUUUGAUUAAAACAUAAAUCAAUUAAAAAAAAGCUGAGCAGGCCACACCCACUAUGACACACCCACUGAAAAACAGAUCAUAGAGAUGCCAGAAUUUAAUAUUUAAUAUUAGAAUAAAUAAUAUGUCGGGUAUUUAUUAUCAAUGAGCGAUGAUCAUCGUGUGUGAAAGUGAAAGUGUACUACUGAAGACAUCGGUAAAGGUGCAUUAGGUGAGAUUAGGUGAGACCACACCCUUUUACCUGCCCAUGUUCAAGUAGCUCCGCCCCCAGGAUCUACAGCAGCUAAUGGACUCUAUUUUAUAUAAAAUAACUCAACAGGAGGCGGAGCCAAACACAAACAAGCCAAUCCGGCGUUUUCCAAACGGGUUUUCUCGCCGAAUUGCUGAAGCCACGUCUCAAACUGUUCUUUUCUCUUGUUCUGCGCAUCCUCCAGGUUUUCUGUAAAAGUAAGGAAUAAAGUGGCAUUUGGGGCAAACAGGAAGUGAGGAUUGUGUCUGAUUAACAAAGGCUCAUUUAGAUCGGCACUCGCUAUCGGAUGAGGACGUAAUUAAAGUCAUCGCCGUAUGAAUCUGAUUGAUAACGAAGGCUAACGAAGUGCAGGAUGGAUUCUCCGUGUUACCCCAGUGUCUCUCAGCCACUUUAUACUUCUUCGUUUUAUUUCUUUAUUUAUUUUUAUUUCAUGUAGUUUUUUGUUUUUUUUUAAAUCAAUUCAAAUUAAUACGCGAUCACAUGACAUCACCGCCAGCCUUUCUUCUUCCAGUUCUACACUGUAUAAUGUUUCAGCUCAGCUAAGUGACAGUAGCUAAGCUAGCCAGCUAUCUCAGCACAAGAUCGUGCUAUCGUUAGCCUGAUAACUACUGUACAUAGCUAGCCACAAAGUGAUCGAAACACUGAAAUAUACCUACGUUGUGAUAUGUUCUCUGGUUUAUGAUAGUUUUAGGCAGUUAUUAUUGUAACUACCUGUUGCAUAGUUAAAUAAUGUAGUAAAUUUAUAUAUAUUAAGAGCAAACAGGUCUCUAAAUUAAUAGUGUUUAGCUAGGUACAAGUGUUCCAAUUGUUAGCUAGGUACAAGUGCUAGCUGUUUACAGGAAUGCGUAUUUAUAUUUACCGCCACAUCCUCCGCCAAACACGGAAAGUUUGGGGGGGAAAAUAUACAUAAAGCUAAUUAUAUCGCUAAUUUUAAUGAAGAAUUCCACCGGCGCUGAAUUGGAUCCUCCCCAUUAUGACGGCUGCACUGACGUGUCAUAAGAACUAGCAACGAUCUGACUGGGUUUUUACUAGAUAAAUCUAUGGUUUGAAUGAAUGAACGAGACAGGAGAGACAAGCGAUGCGUGAGAACUGUACAUGAACAGGUACAGGAAACAAUGACCAUAUAAGGAAAAAAGAUCCCACACUAUGGCUCAGAAGCUGUUUGUUUAGUUUAUAGAUAGUUUUUCGUCCAUUUGGAGGUAAAUGUGUGUGCGCGCGCGCGUGUGUGUGUGUGUGCGUGUGUGUGUGUUUGUGUACGUAAAGGAACAGGAAGUGCUCAGAAAGUUUUUUUCUCCAGCACGCGGCGGUGCUUUAAAGAAAGUUUUGAGAGCACAGGAAGUCAUCGCCAUGCAGCGGGAGGAGAGAGCACAGCUCUGAGAAUGACAACACACUCCAUUUACAUUCACCCGAACACACACACACACACACACACACACAUCCCUCCUUCUUCCUCUGUUCUUCUUCUCUCGCUCUCUUCUCUCUCUCUUCUCUCUUUUCCCUGUCUGAAAUCUGAAAUCUAUCAAUCAAAAUCUCAGGAAGUUUUUAUGGUCGCGUCAGAGUGAGAGAAAAGUUACAAAUGCAAAGUUUAACCUAGAUUUACAUUUCCUCAUGGAGAUAGACUGAACGAGAGAGAGAGAGAGAGAGAGAGAGAGAGAGAGAGAUUAUGAGAAAAAAGCAGAAAUUAAGAAAAACAAAAGUGGCAGAAUGUGAUAAGAAUGAAAGAAAGGCAAAAUGAAAGAAAGAAUAAAAAACAGAAGAAGUGACUGAGUGAAAGAAAGAAAGAAAGAAAGACAAAAUGAAUGAAGGAAAGAAAGGACGGCGCUCGUCAUCAGGACGUAAUUAAAUCAUCGUAAAAAGUUGUAGUGAAAGGAAGAAAAAGAAAUGAAGAAAGAAAGAAUAAAAGAAAGGAAGAAAAGAGAGGGCUGGUGAGGGACGACUGUUUGUAGCUGCUACGAUAUAAAUGAGAACAGGAACUGACUCGAAUCUGACGUUCCACAUCAUUACUGUAGAUGUAACUAGAAAUGGAUAAAAAGUACGACAGUGACAGUAACGUCUCUUCAUCUCACAAGAAACGAAGGAAAGACGGCUAUAUUUUCCCGACAGUAAUUACAAACUCACCGAGAGAUUAAACGACGCAGGCCGACGCUGUUCACGUGUUUACACGUGCGCACUACCGUCUCCAGAUCUGUCCGGGUUCACGUCACGUUGAUUAAACGUCCGCUAGCUAGCUAACGGUAGCUCGGUCACUCACACACAGACACACGCACACACACACACACACACACACACACACAUACAUAGACAUACACACACAUACACACACACACACACACACGCACACACACACACGCACACACACACACACAUACAUAGACAUACACACAUACACAUAGACACACACACACACACACGCAGACACACACACACACGCACACACACACACAUAGACACACACACACACACACAUAGACAUACACACACACGCACACACACACAUACACACACACACACAUACAUAGACAUACACACACAUACACAUACACACACACAC
Long non-coding RNA from Ictalurus punctatus (channel catfish), 3138 nucleotides. Lineage: Eukaryota; Metazoa; Chordata; Actinopteri; Siluriformes; Ictaluridae. The record is from Ensembl.